CAAAGCGUAGCUUAAAUAAAGCAUCUAGUUUACACCUAGAAGAUUUCAUGCACAACUGACCGCUUUGA
This 68-nucleotide transfer RNA is filed under the name Glauconycteris variegata (variegated butterfly bat). RNAcentral describes it as "tRNA-Val". It matches the Rfam family "tRNA". Rfam says of the family: Transfer RNA (tRNA) molecules are approximately 80 nucleotides in length. Their secondary structure includes four short double-helical elements and three loops (D, anti-codon, and T loops). Lineage: Eukaryota; Metazoa; Chordata; Mammalia; Chiroptera; Vespertilionidae. The record is from RNAcentral.